This 3235-nucleotide unclassified non-coding RNA is filed under the name Leguminivora glycinivorella. Its description in RNAcentral is "polynucleotide 5'-hydroxyl-kinase NOL9, transcript variant X3". The record is from RNAcentral. Lineage: Eukaryota; Metazoa; Arthropoda; Insecta; Lepidoptera; Tortricidae.
AACUGCGUUUUCACAUAUGUGUGUUUCUUCAACAUGAAUGACCUGCGCUGAGCACUAGGCCGUAACAUAUGCGGAUUCUAUUGGUGUGUAUGCCUACGUAUGCCUGAGCAUACGAUGGGUUAAAUAGAAUGAAGGGCUCAUCCUUCUAGUAAAUUACAAUUUAUAUCAAUAAAUUAAAAUCACGAGAAAACUGGUCAAAGAUAAAAUUUUCGCUCAUGACGACACGUUAAUCCUUAUUGGAGCGAUGUCAACGCCAUCUUAUAGUGAUUUUUAGAAGUUUAUAGUUGGGCCUACCUUUAUGUAGUUAUUCUACUCACCGGUAGAUGACGCUAUAGCUGGGCUAAACGCAGGCAGUUUUAAAGUUAGCUCAAACAGUUUGAAAUGGGUCCAACUUGAACUUAAAGAUUCUUUCAGUGACACAUUGAGCUCAAAGUACGAGUUGGACCAAAAGUUACUUUUUAUUGACAUUGUCUUGUCAAAAAUGUCAUAAUACCACCGACGGCGCUGACCGCGUUUAUUUUAAGUUAGUAAAACUGAUAAAACUAUCACAUUUUAGCUGAAAAGAAUGUUGAAAACGAAGUGACAAAAGCAAUUUAGAUUUGUAUGGAGUUUUUUGAAAAAGCGCAUGUUGUAAAACGGAAUCAAAAUAUAGACGACAAUAUGAAAAAACAACUAAAGCAAAUGUUGUAUGGGUACAAACAAAACGAUAAUAAACUCAUUCGAGAUGCGGCCAAUAUCGAAAAAGAAGAUGACUCCACAUCUGUAAGUGGCUUUUCCGACCUCGAUUUAACCGUGUCUAGCAGUGAGGGGAAUAGCACACGGCAAAGGAUUUCUUUCAUAGGACCCGGAAGUGUAAAAGAUGCAGCAAUAAGUCUUGAUGAUUCUAUAGAUAGUCAAUCUCAUAAAUCUUCAAGUAGCUUUGACGAGAAUGACUUUCAGAAGAUAAGUGAUGUGUCUCUCUCUGAUAUAAACGAGGACAUUGAAAGUCUAUCUGAAGGUUCUGUUUCUAUCAAUGAAAGCAAUGAUAGCGAUGAUGAUUUCUCAAUGACAAGCACUUCUGUAGGUUCUGCUUCAGAUGUUGAGUCAAGCGCUAGUGAACCAUUUGAUCCCGAUGGCACAUUGGCAUCUAAAAUAUUUGAAAAAUUAAAAUUGAGGGAUAAUCCAAAAGUUACCAAGAAGGAAAGAAAAAGGAAGUUAGAUCAAAUACCAGCACCAAAGAAUUAUAGUCAAGAUUCUCAGAUGGAAAGUGACUCAAGUGUUGAGGUGCUUUCUGAAAAGGGAUCAGGGAAGGAUUCAGUAGACACAGUUGAUUACUCGAACAUUACAUCACCGUCAUUUGUUUCUGUAAAUGCAGUAGACAUGCCUCAUCAAUCCCUCAGUGAUGUACUAGGAGACUACACAUACCCAACUGUCAGAAACUUGCCAUCGGAAGCCCAGAAUUUGUUUGCUACCAACAAGUCUGGUAUAUUCCCUACUUUGGAUGAGGAGAGUGUGAAUGAUGUAAAUGACAGUUUACUCCCAGAACUGGGAAGUGUACUAGAUGACCCAGAAGUCAUGGAUUUAGAUUCCAGUACAGACAUGCCGGUCGAGGAGAGCUCAUUGGCUUAUGAUGAAACUAUAGAUACUGAGGAAACAUUCCAAAGAGAGAAUUCAACAGAGUCAGUUGACACCAACUUUGUAAAUCCUGUAAAUAUUUUCUAUGGAAAAAAUUGCUGCAUACUAAUUCUUAAACAUCCUGCCGAAAUAUACAUUCAUGGAAAAGUAAAAGUUACAUUGUUGGGGGGUUUAGUAGAAAUUGGUGGCUACACUCUGCAAGAUAAGACUUACAAAGUAUAUGCACCAAAUUACAACUGCGCUCAAUACUUACGGACACUGGAUCAUGACAAGGGCUAUUAUGGGCUAUUUGCAAAGUUGACAGGGUCUGGGUUGUCUGUGGCCGCCACUGAAGAAAUUGUGACCACCCUCAGUCCCUCUGAUAGUAUUGUACAAUUACAACCGUUGCAUGAUAGAAUAGCUCAGUUUGUAGAAAACAGCUGCACUAUAACAGAUCUAUUUUCUAAGACAAACAAGAAUGUAGAUGGCUGCUUCAGAAAAGCAUCAGACUUUUUGGGAUGCUCACUGUACCUUAUGAAACCUUGGAAGAGUUUUGAGGAGAAUCCUUGUUGGAGCCAAGCCUUGCAACAUGGAUAUAAGCCCCAAAGCAAAGGAAUUUUAUGCGGCGGUAAAGGCUCGGGCAAGAGCUCAUUCCUGCGGUACUAUGUGAAUAAGCUGCUGGCGCGCGGAGCUGUGCUGGUGAUUGACCUGGACCCCGGCCAGAGCGAGUUCACUCCAGCCGGGUCUGUGUCCGCCACUGUGGUGGAGGAACCGCUCCUUGGGCCGCCGUUUACGCACUUGAAGACACCCGAAAGGAUGUUGAACAUCGGUAUCAUUAGCACAAUGGACAACCCGAGACGAUACGCCACGGCGGUGCAACAACUCAUCGACUAUUGCCAUAGCGAACCCCGCUUCCAAGACCUCCCAUGGAUCGUCAACACUAUGGGCAUGGUCAACGCUCUAGGCCUCCAAUUUAUGGCCCUAAUGACCAUCUUACUACAACCAACCUUCAUCCUACAAAUAGACUCUAAAAACCCUAAAAAGAGAUACGCACAUCACCUAGACUCAGACACAGUCAAAUCACUGUAUUACAAAUACCAGUACAACUAUCUUUUCAAACCAAUCAAACUUCAAAACGAGAUGGAUUAUGCCCUCAUAAUAUCAAACGCUGACAGUGUUAAGGGCAACUUCUCGCUGCCGCCUAAGGAGGAGCGAUACCUUAACUUUUUGGCCUAUUUCGGCAGCUUGAUGACUAAUAACGCCACUGAUGACUUCCUGUUAAGCGUUGUUCCGUAUGAGUAAGUAGGUUUUAAUUAUGAUUGUAGAUACUACCUAUAACCGGAACUCUACUCGCAUGGAAUGAAGUUGAACAUUUCCCUUCCUAUCAGAUGUUGAAUAAAAAAAAACUUUACAAAAAUCGGUACAGUAAUUUAGCUAGUAAAAUUAUGACCAUUUUUUUAGUCAAAGUUCUUAUACUUGAUGUCGAACUAGAUCGCAUUGAUUCCCCCCAUUCCUACCACAGCCAAAACAUAAAACUAGUCAACAAAAAGCUAACCUUGAAAUAUGUUUAGAAACACGUAGUACACAAACAAGUAUCGCUUUUCCCGUUACUACGGGUUCCCGGUACGGCUGUGAAUGAAUA